This 399-nucleotide ribosomal RNA is filed under the name uncultured bacterium. RNAcentral describes it as "partial 16S ribosomal RNA". It matches the Rfam family "Bacterial small subunit ribosomal RNA", at positions 338 to 734 of the family's 1533-position model. The record is from RNAcentral.
CCUACGGGGGGCAGCAGUGAGGAAUAUUGGUCAAUGGGCGUAAGCCUGAACCAGCCAAGUCGCGUGAGGGAUGAAGGUUCUAUGGAUCGUAAACCUCUUUUAUAAGGGAAUAAAGUGUGGGACGUGUCCUAUUUUGUAUGUACCUUAUGAAUAAGGAUCGGCUAACUCCGUGCCAGCAGCCGCGGUAAUACGGAGGAUCCGAGCGUUAUCCGGAUUUAUUGGGUUUAAAGGGUGCGUAGGCGGCUUUUUAAGUCAGCUGUGAAAGUUUGUGGCUCAACCGUAGAAUUGCAGUUGAAACUGGCAGGCUUGAGUAUAGUAGAGGUGGGCGGAAUUCGUGGUGUAGCGGUGAAAUGCUUAGAUAUCACGCAGAACCCCGAUUGCGAAGGCAGCCUGCCGGAC